AGGACGAACGCUGGCGGCGUGCUUAACACAUGCAAGUCGAGCGGUAAGGCCCUUUCGGGGGUACACGAGCGGCGAACGGGUGAGUAACACGUGGGUGACCUGCCCUUAGCUCUGGGAUAAGCCUGGGAAACUGGGUCUAAUACCGGAUAUGACCUCGCGAUGCAUGUCGUGGGGUGAAAGCCUUGUGCGGCUAGGGAUGGGGCCCGCGGCCUAUCAGCUUGUUGGUGGGGUGAUGGCCUACCAAGGCGACGACGGGUAGCCGGCCUGAGAGGGCGACCGGCCACACUGGGGACUGAGACACGGCCCAGACUCCUACGGGAGGCAGCAGUGGGGAAUCUUGCGCAAUGGGCGAAAGCCUGACGCAGCGACGCCGCGUGAGGGAUGACGGCCUUCGGGUUGUAAACCGUCUUUCAGCCCUGACGAAGCGAAAGUGACGGUAGGGGCAGAAGAAGCACCGGCCAACUACGCGCCAGCAGCCGCGGUA
This 484-nucleotide ribosomal RNA is filed under the name uncultured bacterium. Its description in RNAcentral is "SSU rRNA". It matches the Rfam family "Bacterial small subunit ribosomal RNA", at positions 26 to 522 of the family's 1533-position model. The record is from RNAcentral.